UGGUGCCAGCAGCCGCGGUAAUUCCAGCUCCAAUAGCGUAUAUUAAAGUUGCUGCAGUUAAAAAGCUCGUAGUUGAAUUUCGGGACCGUCAUGUCGGUCGUGCCUCGGUACGUACUGGCAUCGUUGGUUUCUCCCUUCUGACGAACCAUGAUGUCAUUUAUUUGAUGUCGUGGGAAAUCAGGACUGUUACUUUGAAAAAAUUAGAGUGUUUAAAGCAGGCUCACGCUUGAAUACAUUAGCAUGGAAUAAUGAAAUAGGACGUUUAAUUCUAUUUUGUUGGUUUCUAGGAUUGACGUAAUGAUUAAUAGGGAUAGUUGGGGGCAUUAGUAUUCAAUUGUCAGAGGUGAAAUUCUUGGAUUUAUUGAAGACUAACUACUGCGAAAGCAUUUGCCAAGGAUGUUUUCAUUAAUCAAGAACGAAAGUUAGGGGAUCGAAGACGAUCAGAUACCGUCGUAGUCUUAACCAUAAACUAUGCCGACUAGGGAUCGGAUGAUGUUAAUUUUUUAAUGACUCAUUCGGCG
This 521-nucleotide ribosomal RNA is filed under the name uncultured Glomus. Its description in RNAcentral is "SSU rRNA". It matches the Rfam family "Eukaryotic small subunit ribosomal RNA", at positions 562 to 1085 of the family's 1831-position model. The record is from RNAcentral. Lineage: Eukaryota; Fungi; Glomeromycota; Glomeromycetes; Glomerales; Glomeraceae.